Molecule: long non-coding RNA, 2397 nt
Filed under: Pan paniscus (pygmy chimpanzee)
Lineage: Eukaryota; Metazoa; Chordata; Mammalia; Primates; Hominidae
Description: lncRNA (ENSPPAG00000044503.1)
Source: RNAcentral
AUGUCUUUAUUUAUAAAUGCACAUUUAUGUUUCACUUCCAGCUGGUUGGAGUGUUUGAUGAGCAAGAUCUACAUCAUGGAGGUGAUGACACCAAUGCCAGCUCCAUGCAUACCUAGAGCCCAGAGAGAUUUGCUAGUGCUAGUGAGCUUGGCACCAACAAUGUCUCAGCCUUUCAGUCUGAUCAAGCAGCAAGUGAAAUUGAGGUCACAUCUUCAGUACUUCAUAUUUACCUUUGGAGUCCAACCCUUCUGACCAUCCAGAGGCAAGCACAAUAUUCCUGAGAAAAUCUCAAACAGAUGGUACUGAGAAGCCCUUUAGGAAAAUUGGAAUGGAUGUGAGGCAUCGUCAUGUGAAGAAAAGCAUCCCAGAAGGUUCUGAUUUUCACACCAACUCAAUCAUUCCAAACUUUGCUGCACUUUGAAAUCACCAGGGAAAUUUUUAACAAUAACUCUGAUGCCCAAAGUCCUACCCAAUGCUAAUUAAUUAAAUAAAAAAGUCUCAUGUUGAAAAUAAGGCAGUUAUUAAAGCUCCUCAGUUGAUUUUAAUGUGCAGCAAAGUUUGAGAGACACUGCUUAAUUUGAAUUUAGGACGAGAAACUGCUCCGAUUUAGCGGGACCUUGGGCAAGUCAGUUUUAAGGUUUCUUUCCCUAAUCUGUAAAAUGAGUUUUGGAUUAAAUGUCAUAUAAGGUCAUUGGUCCUUUCCAGCAUGUAACUUCAAAUUCUGUGAUUUUAAAAUGAUUUUAGAGAUGAAAACUAUUUGAAGCACUAUAGACAUAUCCAUCUUAAAUGCUAAUGUUACAGGCUUUUUAAAAAGUGUUAAUAUUGUAUAGACCUAUUAUUAAAAUUCAGAUUUGCCUUCCCUCAGUUAUUCUGAGCCUCAUUCUAGAUGCUGAGGGCAAUGGAAGCACAUAACUUAUGCAAGAGAACCUCUUGUUCUGUGAUAUGCAGCAUCUGUGAGUAACUUAGGAAUACAGUUACAUAUAUCUGAAGAGGUGUAUCUGUUCAUAAAUAUUUCAGUUAAACUAGUUGAAGGUACCUGCCAUUCACAUUAUACUGUGUCGUGUUACACUGCCUUGUUAGCACAGCUUAUUUUAGGAUCACUGCACCUAUCAUUGAUUUCCUGUGUGCUUAUGUUUACUAAUAUAUUUUUAAAUAAUUAUGCAAAAGUGAUUUCAAAUAAUUUUGUUAUAAAGCACUUUCAUUAUGUAUUUUUAGGGAAAUAAUUUAAAAUGGGUGGGAGGAGAUAGUGAACUAAAUUAAAUGCAGGACCUAACACCUUAAAAAAGAAAACACUACUGUAUGUCUUAAACAUAUGGACACAUAGAUGUAAACUGCAUGAAGCUGUGUGCGGUGGCUCAUGCCUGUAAUCCCAGCACUUUGGGAGUUCCGAGGCAGGUGGAUCACUUGAGGCCAGGAGUUUGAGACCAACCUGGCCAUCAUGGUGAGACCCUGUCCCUACUAAAAAUACAAAAAUUAGCUGGGUGUAUUGGUGCAAACCUGUAGUUCCAGCUUCUUGGGAGGCUGAGGCAUGAGAAUUGCUUGUACCUGGGAGGUGGAAGUUUUGGUGAGCCAAGAUUGCGCCACUGCACUCUAGUCUGGGUGACAGAGUGAGACUCUGGGUCAAAAAAUAAAUAAAUGCAUAAAAUAAAUUGCAUGGGAUGAAAGGUUUUGUGGGUAGAAGAGCAUAUAACAGGGAAAUAUGUUGUUAUUUAUAUAUUAUAAUCAUCAACAGAAACAUGUCUUCUAAAAGCAUACUGCCUUGAAUUUUGGUUCUCAUAUUUUUGCGAAAAGCUAAGAAACAAAAACAAGAAAGUGCCCUUAUGGUACUGUUCUGAACUAUAAGAUUUGAAUUUCAGAGCCGCUAGGAGUGUUUCUUCUGCCCCCCCUUUAAAAAAUGUCUUCAAGCCUAACAAAUCAUAACAUUUAUUGUUAUGAAUUUUUUUCCCUUCCACAGUGUGACCUUGGUGAUAUAUUAACAUAUCAAGCAAAGGUGAGCUUUUCUAAAACCUGUCUUGUUAUUCUGGCUAAUUACUUUGCAUGAUAUCAAGCUGAGCGUUAGGUCACAGCUCUAGACAUCAUAAGCUGUAUUGUGCCUACUAAAAUAUCAAAGCAAAUUAUUUGUGUUUUCUUUGGUCCUUGAGACUUUAUAAAUUCUUAAAUGAUUGAGUAUCCCAAUGAGUAUGAUUUUAUAUUGAUUAUAUUUAUAUUUACUGUGAUAGAAAUAUAAAAUUGAUACUUUUUUCAAAAUCUAUUUUUAGUUUAGAUUUCACAGACUUAACACUAUUGCUAUCAUGAGCUAGAUAACGCUUUGUGAGGACUGUCCUGUGCAUUACAAAAAGUUUAGCAACAUUGAUGGCCUCUACCAACUAGAUGUCAGUAGUAACCCAUGACCCAGGU